This is a long non-coding RNA of Alosa sapidissima (American shad), 443 nucleotides long. RefSeq lists it as uncharacterized. The transcript has 2 exons. The record is from RefSeq and is a predicted model, not a curated record. Lineage: Eukaryota; Metazoa; Chordata; Actinopteri; Clupeiformes; Clupeidae.
ACAAGGUCGAACCGGUGGUUUUCAGGACAGCACUGGUCACUCUACUAAAGACGUGCAUGGCAGGACCAAGGAUGCUGAGGACGAGAAAGGUGUACAGUAGGAUGAACAGCCUUCAGCUUCAACAUCUUCAACACCUCCCCUAACAUUCCUGGCUCCAUCAAACGUGCCGCAUCCUCCUUAGCUUGUCCCUGUUAUAGGUGUGCAGAGUUUAUAGACAGCUACCCAUCCUUUGCACAUUGUGUAUUUUCUGUUGUUCACACACACACUUCAGACAUUAGGAACUGAAAUCUUUUUUGAAAAUAUAAAUGAGUGUCAAACCUCCUUUCUAUGUUGCAGUCCCACCACAUCUCCCUUCUGGUAUUUUUGUUGUUUUUCCCCCUAGUUUUUUUGUUAACACACACUUGUUUCACACAUUGAAAAAUGAAUAAAAUAUCUAAAAUGUA